GUUAAACGUGAAGCGUCUUAUUUUUGUAGGGGUGUCAGGAGCCCUUGAUUGUGCUACCUUCCCCCAUCCCACCGGCAAUCAACCGAGUUGGAGUACAUAAAGUGAUGGACAAAGUAACUUUAUGCGAGCAGGCGCUUCAAAUCACAUUACCGAACAGCUGUUAAAAGUGAGACUGUAUAAUAAUGACGCGACCUCUAUGGGGGAGAUAAUUUCUGGUCACCAUUGGAAGAGAAACAAAACACUAAACAUGAAGUUAUCAAUCCUGUUUGUUGCCGUCUUGACUACCAUCAAGCCUGGUAUAGGUAAUGUACAAUUAUUGAAUAUGUUUAUCAUAUACUCACUGACACAUACAUGUAUUCCCCGU
Molecule: long non-coding RNA, 364 nt
Organism: Gigantopelta aegis
Lineage: Eukaryota; Metazoa; Mollusca; Gastropoda; Neomphalida; Peltospiridae
Exons: 4
Source: RefSeq, a predicted model, not a curated record